AGCAGUAGCCGCGGGAAUACGAAGGGGGCUAGCGUUGCUCGGAAUGACUGGGCGUAAAGGGCGCGUAGGCGGUUUGUACAGUCAGAUGUGAAAUUCCUGGGCUCAACCUGGGGGCUGCAUUUGAUACGUGCGAACUAGAGUGGGGAAGAGGGUCGUGGAAUUCCCAGUGUAGAGGUGAAAUUCGUAGAUAUUGGGAAGAACACCGGUGGCGAAGGCGGCGACCUGGUCCUUGACUGACGCUGAGGCGCGAAAGCGUGGGGAGCAAACAGGAUUAGAUACCCCUGUAGUCCCUGUCUCUUAUAC
This 303-nucleotide ribosomal RNA is filed under the name uncultured bacterium. RNAcentral's name for it is "partial 16S ribosomal RNA". It matches the Rfam family "Bacterial small subunit ribosomal RNA", at positions 507 to 807 of the family's 1533-position model. The record is from RNAcentral.